CUGGAGAGAAAGGGCUGAGAACCCGGAGGCGGCGGCGGCGGCGGCGAGCCGGGGCUGCUGGUUCGCAGGGCGGCUAGCUCGCGAGGAGGCGCGGCCAGAGCGGUGGGACCGGUAACACCAAGAGCCGAGAAGACGCAGGGACCCGGGACCGCGCGCGGGAGGAAACGCGGCGGCCGCCCAAGCUGUCACCUCCAGCCUCUCCCCUCUCGGCCGCCUCUGCCAGCAGCCAGAGCCGGACUCACUGACAAGCCGCAGAGAGAGACACACUGAGAGGGAGAUGAUUAUUAGUUGCGUUGAGUCAUCAGGCAAAGACCCCGAGGGCUCUCCCACAUCUCCCGCAGCAAGAGCCACCGAUCCCCCUUAAGAAGCGUUGACUGUACGGCGGCGCCAGAGGGCCAAACUAAGUUCGGUUUCGGGAAACGCUCUCGGGAGCAGUUCUGUAAAUCCCUGCUGGGAGCAGAGACUGCGAAAAGCUGAGUCCGCCGAUCGUGCCCGGGACAAGGCUGCCUUCCACUCGCCCUCGCCGCAUCUACCUGGUAGGCGGCAUGCGCACGGGCUUA
Molecule: long non-coding RNA, 560 nt
Filed under: Homo sapiens (human)
Lineage: Eukaryota; Metazoa; Chordata; Mammalia; Primates; Hominidae
Description: SATB2 antisense RNA 1
Source: RNAcentral